UAAAGGGCUCAGAUCCGGCAUUCUCCUCUCAGCCUGCCACUCAGUAUCCCUGCGUCCUCGGGCAUUUCAACUCCCAGGUCUCAGUUUUGCUGCUCAUAAAAUGGUUGGACCAUCCGAAAGCGAGGUGUGCGGGCGGGUGGAAGGAGGAAGGUGAGGGUUCUUCCUAGAGGUGACCAGGUGAGGCCGGGAGUCGAGCAUUUUCAUAAGAUUGCUCGCGGACGCGGGGGUGGGUGGAGAGCAUCACGAUUAAGAAGGAACACACGCACGCACACACACACCUCCUUCCUCCUUCCCCUCCUCUUCCUCUCACCCCGCCCCCCGGGGGGCGGUACCCUAGUCUCCCGGGGGAGGUUUUGGGGCGGAGGACCGCGGAGGACUGCGCCCAGGAGGGUGGCCGGCCGCGGGAGGAGGACUUGGGGUCGGGCUGCUGCAGCUGGGUGGCCAGCGCCGCGGCGGCCCCUCCCCCGCUCUCCCUGGCCGCCGCCCCCUCCUCCUCCCGUCCUCCUCCUCCUCUCCCUCCUCCCGGUCCCCCAUCCUCCUCCCGGCCCCCGGCAGCUGCGGCUCGGGGAGCAGCCGGCGGCGCCGCGGCCGCGCAGCCUUUGUCUCGGGCCGCCGGGCGCGCGGGGCCCAGCGCAGGCAGGCCACGCGGGGACGGAGGAGGCAGAGAGGACGGGCUGUGAUGGAGAAACGGGAGAGGAGCCGGCCAGGCGCCACCGUCACCACCAUCACCAACCACCACCACCAUCACCAUCACUGACUGUCGCCCAUCCCAGCUCCCCUGCCUCACCUCCCAUCUCAUAUCCCUGUGCAGUGCCAACUUUAUCAGAUCAUCUCUUUUUCACUGGGUACUACUUUGGAAAAGCGACAGAGUGCGCCAAGUCAGGAAUAAGUACAUCCGCUGUGGGACAUUUAUCUUCCCCUUUCUAUUUAGCUACCUCAAUUUUCUCAUCAGGAAAGGGGGCACAAUGGCAUUUCAUUCCUCUAAAUCACACUGAGAUGGCUGGGUUGCUUCCAGUUUUUCCAGUCCUGGCACUGGACGGUUAUACAUGCUUGGUGAUGAUGAUGAUAAAGUAAUGUCUUCAUUAAAUUGGACAGUUGGGAGUUUUCAGACUUACUCUUCUUUGACUUCUGAGUGUCAGUAUACCAGUAGCAAAUAGAAACAUAAGGAAAGUGAAACUUUGGCUAACAUAAUACCAAGAAUAGAUGCAAAACAGGCACUUUUGUAGGGACAUCACCCAAGAGACCUGCAGGCAAUGGUAUUCAUCUGCAGUGUAGAAAGCACCCCAUCAGUGCCAAGUGGCUGUGGGAGCUCCUCAAUCUGGAUGCACAGUUUCCCGUGGGGUUUUCACCCUACCUAAAGAAUGCUUUAAUUGCUGUUUUUCAAAAUUGUCUUUCACCAGGCCCCAGGGACGGCUGACCAUUCAGAACAAACACAGGGACAGAGCCCCAGGGCUGUUGGGAAGCCCAGCACCAGAGGGCAUGAACCUUCUUAGGAGAAGUAAAACUUACAAAAAACAAGCUCUUAAACCCUCCGCCUUUUCCCCUAUUGGUUAGAAAGUGAAUCUUAAACUGUGUUUUAUGUUCUAGUCUAAUAAAAGACAGCUAGACAAGCCUACGUUUCUUGACAUGCUUGGAAAAUCAUCUUCCCGAAAAGUCAUGCAGCAGGGCUUUUUUUUUUUUUUUUUCGACUGAGUCUCACUCUGCCUCUCAGGCUGGAGUGGAGUGGCAUGAUCUCAGCUCAGUGCAACCUCUGCCUCCCGGGUUCAAGUGAUUCUCCUGCCUCAGCCUCCCGAGUAGCUGGGAUUACAGGCGUGGGCCACCAUGCUUGGCUAAUUUUUGUAUUUUUAGUAGAGACAGGGUUUUACCAUGUUGGCCAGGCUGGUCUCGAACUCCUAACCUCAGGUGAUCCGCCCGCCUCGGCCUCCCGAAGAGUUGGGAUUACAGGCGUAAGCCACCACGCCCAGCCAGGGCUCCUUUUUAAUAGGGCUAUGGAGUCCCCCACCUGGUGGUUUUUUUGCCCUGUGCCCUGUUUUUACAAUUCAAGAAGGAAAGUGAUCAUAUUAAAAAUAAUGUGAACCCAGCUGAGCUGCAUUUGUCGUUACCAUAGUUUAAGAUUUCUCAAAUGUUGAAGUAUAAUUAUAUGUCAUUAACUCAAACCUCUCUAAUUUGUGAAGUAGGGUUUUAAAUAGGGUAUGUAAUUCUGUGGAGAAUGACUCCGAAAUCAUUCUGAGGACCUGAAGUUUAAGUAAGGCAUAGUCAGUCUAAAACAAUGACAUUGUCAGAACGAAGACUUAAAGAAUUAUUUAGCUAUGUUUUUAAUUCUGGAUCUUUAGGAAAUAAUUAGCAUCUCAAGGAAGCUUCAUGCCAAUGAUAGUGUCUUAGUCUUUUGGGUCUGCUAUCACAAAAUGCCUUAGACUGGGUGAUUCUGAACAAGAGAAAGGUAUUGCUCACAGUUCUUGAGUCUGGCAAGUCGUGGAUCCAGGUGCUGUGGAUUCAGUGUCUGGUGAGGGCUAGCUCUCUGCUUCAUAGAUGGCACCUUCUAUGUGUCCUCACAUGGUACAUGGGGCACACAGGCUCCCUUGGGCCUCUUUUAUAAGGGCACUAAUCCCAUUCAUGACAUGGGGCGUUCAGAAGCUAAUCUCCUAAAGUCCCACCUCUUGAUACUGUUGCCUUGGGGAUUAGGUUUCAACGUAUGAAUCUGUGGGGACACCAACAUUCAGACUGUGACAGGUUGGCAUUGAGUACCAAGUUAUAUCCAACACGCAUUGUUUUAGCCCAUACAAAUUGUUAUAGCCUAUACUAAUUCUAUGUUAAUUUAGGAACAAUUCAUUUGCUUUUGUUGAGAUAUGAUUUACAUACAUAAAAUGCACAACUCUUCAGUGGACAGCUUGAUGAAUUUUUGCCUAUGUGCCCCCUGCAAUAAGAUACAGCCUAUUUCCACAGGCCUAAGGGAUCCCCUGAUGCCCUUUCUAGUCAGUACCCCCCCAACAGAGCCACUAUCCCUUCAAUGGAGCCACUAUUGGACUUCUAUCAACAUAGAAAAAUAAUUUCUUUUAAAAUAAUUUCUAAGUAAUUUAUUUUGCACUUCACUCCAUUAAAUGCAAUUGGCCUAUUCCUUAAAUGCAUUUGGCCUAUUCCAUUUAUGACCAAAUCUGGGGGCCCUGAGCCCAGUGCUGUGUAGACAUGAGACUGUGUAGACCUGAGACAUGGUAUUAUUAAUACAUAAGGCAAAAACUUCCACAAGCAGAAGCAAUACCCUGUAUGCAGAUACAGAGGGUUAGGGGAACCCACAAGAGUCUGGGUCUAACCCAGUUUUGUUUUGUUUGUGGGGGGAAAGGGAAGGCUUUUUGGAGGAUGUGAAUUUUAAGUUGAAAAUGGAAAACUGAGUAGAAGUGAUCCAGCUAAAACGUGGUAGGAGGAAAAUGAAAGCCUAUUCUAGGUGGAAGGAACAUCUUGAAUUCCAGCCUCAGAAAUAAGACAGCAUGGAGUGUUUGAAGAGCAAAGCUAAGCUGAAGAUGCUUGGAGUAUAGGGCUGUGGGAGAAAAGUGGGAAAUAAUGCUGGAAAGGCCAUAGGGACCCUUUCAGUUUGACACAAAGGCCCUGCUGAGGGGUGGGGCUUGGCUGUAAGAGCUAGGAGAGCUCUAGGACAGGCUUGCGUGGUGGGCAUGGCAGGAGGAGACUUGAGGACUCAGCAGGCGGCCUUAGGGUCGGGAGAUUACAGGAGGCGCAGGUGGGGGGCCAAGUGGUCAUUCAGGUAAGAGACAGUGGUGACCUGGACUAUGCAGUGGCAACAGGAAUGGGGAGAAAUGAAUGAAAUGGAAAGAGAAUUACAAGGUAAAAUGAACACAAAUUGAUGUUUGCUAGGUGAGAAUUCAAGGAUAGCCCUUAGGUUUCUUGGAUCUUACAAAAUGGAUGGAUAAUGGUACUCUUGGAGAGAUGAGAGAAGAAUCUUGUAUAUAUUAUAUGCUCCUUUGGUAUGUUUCUUUCUGUGUGGACUUAGUUUCGGUUGCAAGUUAGUGUGAUGCAUUCAGGUAGAAAUAUCUACUGGGGAGUUGUAACUCAUACUGACUGAGCACACUCCAUAUGCCAGGCAUGCUCCGUCACUUAGGAUGCAGUUGUGAACAAGACGAUGAAAACCCUGCCUUUGUGAAACACAGGUGGGAGCUGCAGCCUGGGGACCCACAAGGUUUAAGUGGUGACAGAAGGCUUCAGAGUGAAUGAGAUGGCUCAGUCAGAUUUCAGUGAAAGAGCAGCAGCCCAGGAUAAAAUCUCAAGAACGCUAAGAGACUAAGAAGGAACAAAGGAGAGAUGGCAAGGAAAGCAAGAGAAGUUGGGCUUCACAGGCCUAGGGAGUGAUCCCUAGUGUCAUACACAACUGUGAAGUUAAGGGAGAUGAGGACUAGAGAUGAUCUACUGCAGUGCUUCUCAAAGUGGGGUCCCCAGACCAGCAGCAGCAGCACCAGGAGCUUGUUGCAAUUGCAGUUUCUUGAGAUCUACUCCAGACCUGGUGACUCUGGGAGCUCUGAGGGAAGGGCCUAGCAAUCUAUGUUUUAACAAGGUUUCCCAGUGAUCCUGAUGCAUGCUAAUGUUUGAGCACCACAGCUCUAUUGUGUUAAUUGAUAAGUCACUGGUGAUGCAGCAACUUGGUGAAAAUAACUUCAUAAAAUUUACACCCUGUUUGGGCAAAUUUUAAAAAUGUUUCGUGGGACUGUUAAAGUUUUAUUCUAUUUGUUUAGAAAUUUCAAAUGUUUUAUUUUCUUUUGCAAUAAAAAUGUUGUUAUUUUCUUUUGUAC
This 4793-nucleotide long non-coding RNA is filed under the name Homo sapiens (human). RNAcentral's name for it is "HSALNT0037075". The record is from RNAcentral. Lineage: Eukaryota; Metazoa; Chordata; Mammalia; Primates; Hominidae.